This is a long non-coding RNA of Neltuma alba, 518 nucleotides long. RefSeq lists it as uncharacterized. The record is from RefSeq and is a predicted model, not a curated record. NCBI's taxonomy places the organism in Eukaryota, Viridiplantae, Streptophyta, Magnoliopsida, Fabales, Fabaceae. The transcript is spliced from 3 exons.
CAAAAAAAACUUGCUGUAUCGGUCCAUGCAUUAAGAAUAUUGUAUCAUCAUGUUUACUAAAAACUUGGAAAUUCUUCCAUCUCCACCCCCAACAAAUCGAUUUCCUCAAGUAGCACUGAUCCUGCCAGUUCCAGUCUAACAUUUCACAAAGGAGACAUUAACUGCAAACUUACAUUAGGCCAAAACAACACAAAUAUGUCCAGAAUACAAGAGAACAAUAAUGCUCACAAAAAGAGCAACAAAAUGCCACAAAUGAGCUCUGACCUUGGUAACUCUUGGGUCUUUGACAUACCACCUCAAACCUUACAGCUCAUUAAAAGAGUUUAUUAAAUGGAUAAACCACAUACUCCAUUGAGUACCAAUUCUCAUACUUAGAUAAUGUACACUAUUGGAUUCAAAAUCCAUAUUCCAUACCAAAAACCUUAUAUGUUGCAAGAGGUGAGUUUCAUUUUGAUAUUUAGAACACCUCAACAAAUUCCAACAAAACACCAAAUAGGAUUAGUAUUACAUUUGCUUCC